AUGGAUUUGAACAGCUCAGAGAAGUUGCCUUUGCCGAGCCGUCCACAGCCACCCUUCUGGUACUCUUCCCCUCUCUCGUCCUUCUCCAUGCACCCGAUCCUUUGGAUCAUCUCCAGGAACAACGUUGGCCUGAACAUAAUAGUUGAUGCAGUUAGAUUUGGAAUCACGGGGAGUAGAGCAAAGAAGCAGCUUGAAUUUAUAAUCCAGGUCUUGGAGAACAUUGUAAGCCUGCUGCUUCUAUUUGUGUACUGCGCCAGUAGAUCUCCUGAUGCCGCGGCGUGGAUCAGGCUAGAUCAGCUGCUGGAUGCUACGUUGACAAACGAGGUAGGCAGGAAGGCGUUCACGUCGCAAGGCUCGGCUCUGUUGAGGGUGGCUGCGUCCGUCUUCACUGAGAUCCAGUCGCUGCAGGAUCUCCGAAGGACAUUUCUCUGUUCCACGAACGUGUCGUUUCACCAUGCACCGACGUUCGGGUUGAUAUGCGGGCUGGUUGGAUUUGACAGUGAGACAACACCCAGGGCUUACAUGUUUGUGACAAUGAGGGAUGUGAUCUCCUUGGCGACGAUGUUCAAUUUGAUCGGACCGCUUGCUGCUUUGGUGCUGCAGCACCAGGUUACGCCAGAUGCUGAGAAGAAGCUGCAGAAGUGGAGGGACCGUGAUGUCUCUGAAGCAUCACAGACUGCGUCGCUGUUUGACACGUUGCAGGGCUGCCAUGGUCUAGGCUGUUUUGCUCCUGACAAUGAGUUUCGCUUCCAUAUAUUUCCGUCUCUCAUGUUGUACAAUGUCUUCAAGCAUACACAACAGAGGGCUCAAAUUCAUGGUACAUGUAUAAUUCAUGCCUUCAUAUUAUUCUGA
Molecule: ribosomal RNA, 852 nt
Filed under: Triticum aestivum (bread wheat)
Lineage: Eukaryota; Viridiplantae; Streptophyta; Magnoliopsida; Poales; Poaceae
Description: partial small subunit ribosomal RNA
Source: RNAcentral